RNAcentral lists this ribosomal RNA (420 nucleotides) under Piabina argentea. Its description in RNAcentral is "partial 12S ribosomal RNA". It matches the Rfam family "Bacterial small subunit ribosomal RNA", at positions 774 to 1395 of the family's 1533-position model. The record is from RNAcentral. Lineage: Eukaryota; Metazoa; Chordata; Actinopteri; Characiformes; Stevardiidae.
GGGAUUAGAUACCCCACUAUGCUUAGCCUUAAACCUAGAUGUUGAAUUUACAAGCAGCAUCCGCCAGGGUACUACAAGCGCUAGCUUAAAACCCAAAGGACUUGACGGUGUCUCAGACCCACCUAGAGGAGCCUGUUCUAGAACCGAUAAUCCCCGUUAAACCUCACCACCCCUUGUUUUCUCCGCCUAUAUACCGCCGUCGCAAGCUUACCCUGUGAAGGUCUAAUAGUAAGCAAAAUGGGUAAAUCCCAAAACGUCAGGUCGAGGUGUAGCUUACGAGGUGGGAAGAAAUGGGCUACAUUUUCUAUAUCAGAAUAAUACGAACAGCACCAUGAAAUUAGUGCUCGAAGGUGGAUUUAGUAGUAAAAAACAAAUAGAGAGUCUUUUUGAACCAGGCUCUGAGACGCGCACACACCGCCC